Lagopus leucura (white-tailed ptarmigan) is the source of this 957-nucleotide long non-coding RNA. RefSeq lists it as uncharacterized. NCBI's taxonomy places the organism in Eukaryota, Metazoa, Chordata, Aves, Galliformes, Phasianidae. The transcript has 5 exons. The record is from RefSeq and is a predicted model, not a curated record.
GAUUGACCUUCUUACAUGGCUUCCUGAAGCCCAAGCUCCACUGAGCAUCUCACUGGAGAAGAGUCAGAUCAGCUAAACAGACAGGACAUUCCAAGAGGAAUCUUUGCGCCCUUGGAUCCUUAAUGAACAGACUGACAAUGAAUGUGUAGCCUCAUACCCCUGAGUAAAAUAAGACCUCUCAGGAAUGCUGGCAUGAGACAAGGAGAAAUGCUGGAAUACUAAUUCUCUGGUGCAAAGCUCUUCAUCCUGACACUUCUGCUAAGUUGUGGCUAAGCAGUGAACAUUGGAGAUGCAAAUGUCACAGUGAAUUGUAUCUGGGCAGUGGGUGCUGGUUGAGGAGGAGACAUUCAGAACGCAAUUUUCAUCAGAUGACAAAGCAGACAAACAGCUCCAGUUACAGAGCAGGCUGCACUGUGCUGACCUCAGGGAGCUGCUGGUAUGAGAAGGUGGUGGUGUCUGUUCUGCUGGAGCUGUAAGAGUGCUGUCAUGAAACCCUAACAGGAAGGCUCAGCUGUGCAGCAUGGACACCUUUGUUGUACUCCCACCUUAAACUACGAUUAACAUUCUGGACCCCCCACGUGUCCCUGAAGACCACCCAGCCUAUGUGUCAGGUACACCGUUCCUGAGAGCUGGCUGCUGGCUGUAGCACGUACGGCACCCGAAGGAGGGACCGCCUCAGCGGCUCCGUUCUGCCACCUGCUGGCAACUUGUGCCCGGAGCACAAAUAGAGCAGGGCUGCCUGCGUGAGCUCCCCGUGACUGACAGGAGCUGCUGGAGCCCGAGGCUGAGGGGAAAGAAAACUCAUGGGGAUGAAACGGGCCAGGGGACGAGGGGACAGGCGCAGCCACUCUCCCAGCUGAUGCCUCUGGGCCUUGACUUCCUCUGCCUGAUUGCCUGUGGGGGCUGAACUUUCUGCGAGCCUCUGAAGCUGAGAGUGAGCUCUGACUUGUCCCUCAC